RNAcentral lists this ribosomal RNA (500 nucleotides) under uncultured bacterium. RNAcentral's name for it is "partial 16S ribosomal RNA". It matches the Rfam family "Bacterial small subunit ribosomal RNA", at positions 30 to 523 of the family's 1533-position model. The record is from RNAcentral.
AUUGAACGCUGGCGGAAUGCUUUACACAUGCAAGUCGAACGGCAGCACGGACUUCGGUCUGGUGGCGAGUGGCGAACGGGUGAGUAAUGUAUCGGAACGUGCCCAGUCGUGGGGGAUAACGUAGUGAAAAUUACGCUAAUACCGCAUACGAUCUAUGGAUGAAAGCGGGGGAUCGCAAGACCUCGCGCGAUUGGAGCGGCCGAUAUCAGAUUAGGUAGUUGGUGGGGUAAAGGCCCACCAAGCCAACGAUCUGUAGCUGGUCUGAGAGGACGACCAGCCACACUGGAACUGAGACACGGUCCAGACGCCUGCGGGAGGCAGCAGUGGGGAAUUUUGGACAAUGGGCGAAAGCCUGAUCCAGCCAUUCCGCGUGCAGGAUGAAGGCCCUCGGGUUGUAAACUGCUUUUGUACAGAACGAAAAGGUUUCUACUAAUACUAGGAGCUCAUGACGGUACUGUAAGAAUAAGCACCGGCUAACUACGUGCCAGCAGCCGCGGUAA